AGCGACAUGAGGAGACUGAAACAUCUGAAAGUUUUCAUGUGGAUAAUACACAUAUAUGGUCUUCAAAGUUCUCUGAUCGCU
Molecule: small nucleolar RNA, 81 nt
Filed under: Zea mays
Lineage: Eukaryota; Viridiplantae; Streptophyta; Magnoliopsida; Poales; Poaceae
Description: Small nucleolar RNA R160
Rfam family: Small nucleolar RNA R160
About the family: snoR160 is a C/D box small nucleolar RNA, which acts as a methylation guide for 25S ribosomal RNA in plants. snoR160 has been alternatively named snoZ270 in rice.
Source: Rfam by way of RNAcentral